Molecule: non-coding RNA, 107 nt
Organism: Flavobacteriaceae bacterium TMED238
Lineage: Bacteria; Pseudomonadati; Bacteroidota; Flavobacteriia; Flavobacteriales; Flavobacteriaceae
Source: Rfam
UUGUUAUGGGCAGGGCUUAUGCAACCAGCUCCCAUUGAAUCCCCCAGGGUGGGAACACAGCAAGGGUAUAUGGUCGUAGCGGUGUGAUAUAAGUUACUUGCCCUUUU